UGAUAGGAGCAUAUUUAUGCUACUUAGUUAGCUUGUUUUCUUGCAUUUAAUUAGCUAAAACUAUGUUAAUUAUAGUGUUUAAAGUUAUUUUCGUGCAAUUUCAGGUUUUAGUGUCAAAGUAUGCAAAAAGAAGCAAUUUGGAGCAUUCUAGAGCAUUUUUGGGCCAAGAUUGGAUAGUGCAAGCAUGGAGGCAUGAAGAUGGACGAAUUUGAAAGGCUUGAAUUCAGUUAGAGAGCUGCAAGGAGGCCUAAAAAUCUGAUUUCUAGAAGGCUACAUUAAUCCCACAUGUUUUUAGACUUUGUUCUUCUAGAAGCCAGCCAUUUAAGACCCACAUGUUUCACACAUGGUGCCUAAUUUCUACCUAAUUUCUGGUACAAAACCUCUUGUUUUCAACUAAGUUCUAAACCCUUCCUAGCCCUAUAAAUAAGGCAGCUGCAAGCAUCACAAAGGCAUUCAGAAAUUUCACAAACCCUUCACAUCACUCAUUCAUCAUCAAAAUUCGUCCAUUCUAUUCCAGCAGCAUCCAUUGACCCCAAAACACCAUUCUUCAACCUAGAGACACAAUCAGCCAUUCCAUCACUUCCCAACCAUCAAACACUCAUCUACACCUAUCCUACACACUUUUCCACCAUUCCACACCAUCCAUAACCCCCAAAAACCAUCACAAACCCCUGGGCCGCAACCAAGGAAGAGGAGGAAGGUUCUUAGACGUUCCUGCUGUGCAAUUUAGAUUGCUGGAAUUUUUAGGUGUGAUCUUUCUUAUGUUUUCAAUGUUUCAAUUCAAUAAACUUUGUGUUGUGAGUAUGAGGAACUAAACCCCCUUAGUUGGGGGGUGAUUCGAAACCAUGUACAUGCUUGCAAUAUGAUUUGAUUACAUUCAGUUGUUAUUUCAUAAGUUGUGGAUUCAAUUCGUUCAUCUACUUGAUUGAUAACUUAUUUGUGUAUGUUGAUUGAGAGUGCACGCUUAGUUUUCAUGCAUGAAUAUGAUGCUAGAUUAUGAGGGAGUUUCACCUAAUAGUUACAAUCUUAUAAUCACAAGUAGUGAAGGUCGCCUGAAAACGAUCGCGUUGAAUGAAUUCUUGGCACUAGUUUCAUGCUCAUCAUAGUAACGAAUGCCUCGUCAACACUUAUAGUUCUCAUUGUGCUUCAUGAUUCUUGAUUGUAUCUUUAUUGUGCUCAUCACGUAAGGAACCUUUAAGGAAUGCUUUGAAUUGUUGUAUGCGCUUUCCCAUCCAAUUCAUUAACUUUAGGAGAACUUGAAGGUUAAUUUAAGCGUAUCUAAUUAACUUGGGGUGUUGAGUUUCAUAAUUUAUUGGGAGAACAACUGAAAAUCGUUUUGUUUGCAAGUGUGUCAUGUGUGGAGAAGAACCUCCUAACUAGCCUUCUACCCAUCUAUUUCACCAAAAUCGUUUUUACAAUCUGCCCUAUUUCCAAUCUGUUUUCUUUAUUUUAAUCUUCGUCAAAACAAAAUCCCCCUUUAUUUUAGAGUCCUAGAUUAGUUAGAAAGUGUGUUAGUUUAUGUUUUCUAGUGUUUUGAGUCAAGUUAUAACAUAAAUUCGUCCAAAUUUGUGUUAGUACUCAAAACUGCCCAGAUUGUGCUUCUAAGGCAGUUUUGAGUGUUUAUUUGCUGUUUUGGUUCCUUUGCUUUGUUUUGGUGUUUUAACUUUUAAUUUUACAUUCUUUGAGUCUAGUUUAGUGUUUUAAACUUUGUUUUUACAUUAUUGAGUCAGUUUUCAAGAGAUUAGCAAUCCCUCCUAAUCCCCGGUUUAGAACGAUCCCUACUUACAUAUUUACUACAAUUUGACAAAAGAGGGUUUAAUUUGUGUGCUUAAUAUAUUUCGCAUCACGUAUUGCAUUUGUAAUCCCAAACUGAAUAGGUUUUCUCUACCUCUUCUAAUAGGUUGGGUAACCAUGAUAUGCUGCAUGGUGUCACUCAUGGUUUGUGGAAGCCCUAAACGUGUGUAAUCACUAAAGGGAGAAUUGAAAGUAAGUUUCAAUUCACAAUCGAUAUAAAAUGGUUUUAAUCGCCCACUGCCUCGCUAAAAGGAACCUAAUGGAUCGCACACCGUGUAAGGUGGAGAUUAAAGAAACAAUGAAGAUGAGUAAGAAUGAUUAAAUGGUUUAAUCAUUUAUUUAUGGCAAGGAUUAAUUAAUAUGUUAAUUAAUCAAACGAAUAAGUUCGUUAAAGACCUCGGGAUAGUUUUGGACAUUAAGGCCCAAUGGGCUUCGAACGUCAAGCCCAUUGAAUUAAGUUGUAUGACAACUUAAUGAAUAAUGAUUCACAAAGGCCUAAUUAGCCCAAAAAUACCCUAGGGCCGGCCAUGAUGCUAAGGGUAGUGAACUUGGACUUAUUUACAAGUUUGUCACUCAAAUGAAUAAAGGUAUAAAUAUGACUUUAUAGCCUAAAAUUCAUUAGGGUUUGUUUUGGAGAAAAUUGGAGAGAACAUGUCUCUCCAUUUCUCUCUAAAGAGGCCGGCCACCUUGGGGGUGCAUCUUGCAAUCCCACUACUCCAAGGUCACUCAUUUCUUCUCCAAUCUCUCCUUGGUGAAGAGACUUAGAGGUUCCCUAUUUUGGGAACUUGGAGAAACCUAUUCAUCCAUCUAAAUCCAUAGAUUUAUUAUGCAAGGAAUGAAGGCCCUCUCUUUGGGUGAUUAGCCUUUGCUUAUGCAAAGAGGAAUCUACAAAGGUACAAUUUCAACUCACUUUGUUUUGAGUUGAGUUUUGGUUCACCAAUCUACUAGGCUUUGAAUUUCUUGGUUAAUGUUUUGUUUUUAAGUGCCUGCUAGCAUGAUUCCGCCUUUAAUUGUUAAUUGCAUGCUUAUUGAUGUUGCUUAAAUGAACAUGUUUUCACAAAAUAAUCCUUCAUUCCCUACACGAACAACAUGAUAGAGAUACACAUCAAAGAUCAUUAAGUUCUAUGAAAAUCAUAAGCAUUGACAAGGCAUUCGUAACUAUGAACACCAUGAUACAACUGCCAGGAAUUCACUUAACACGAUCAUGACCAUUGACCUCCACUACUUGUAAAUAUAAGUUCAUAACUAUUAGGUGAAACUCCCUUAUUUUUUAGCAUCAAAUUCAUGCAUGCAAACUAAGUAUGCAUCCUUAAUCAACAUACAAGAAUAAGUUCUGAAUUAAACAGAUAAGCAAAUUGCAUUCACGAUUCAUGGACUAAUAACUGAAGGUAAUCAAUUCAUAUGCAAUAUAUGUUCAUGGCUUUGAAUUCGCCUCUAGCUAAUACAAGUUUAGUUCCUCAUGUUUGCAAUUAAACAAAACCAAUCUAAUUUAAACAAUGAACUAAAACUAAGGAUAGAAUACACCUAGAAACUCUCCAGCACUCCAAUGGCCUUGGAUGGCAGGCACGGCACAAAGCUCCUUCUUCUCCUUGGAAAGAUGAAGCACAAUUGUGUAUUUUUCUGAUUUUAGGCUCUUGUGUAUGUGGUGCUAUGAAUGGUGCGAAUUUGGUGUAUUUAUAGGGCUAGGGUUCGUCACAAAGGUUGUAGAAGGAUUUGUAUGGCAGGUUCCUAGGGGGAAGAGAAUUAAUGUGAAAUUCCCUUAUAUUUGUAACGAUUAGGUGAAAUUCCCUUAUAUUCUAGCAUCAAAUCCCUGCAUGCAAACUAAGUAUGCAUCCUUAAUAAACAUACAAAAAUAACUGGAUGUAAUCAAUUUAUAUAAAACAUAUGAUCAUGGCUUCGAAAAGAAACUUAGUUACACAUGUUCAUCAUAACUAAAAAAUAAUCAAAAAUAAACAUUGAAACUUAAAAUAAAGAUAGAAAGAACCCAGAAAACUCUAGUGACUUCAAUGGAUGAUUGCAAGUUACGGCACACUCAUUCUUCUCUGGCCCCAGUAGGUUACGGCACAAGCUUUUAAUAAAACAUGCGGCACCAGGCUCUCUCCCUGAUUACUGCAACAAGAAUAUAUAUAUAGGGUAGGGCAUGGCUGACUCUAAGGAGAAAAAAGAUUAGGGUGUUUGAAUUAUCUUAGGACUCCUAGAAUCAGGUGGGAAGUAUUUAGAAUGUGACAAGGAUUCCUUUUGUAGCCGGAAAUAAGAUGAGAUAAUGUUGGAUAAAAUGGGAUAAUGUUAUUUCUUAGUUAAAUUAGUAUUUCAAGUCAUUUUCGUGUGUUUGCAGGACCAAAGAGCUAAAUUAUCAAGAAAGUACAUUUUGGAGCUUGAUGCGAAAUAUAUAAGCAGGCAAAUUAAACCCUUUUUUUUAUCAAAUGUAGUAAAGAAUGUAAGUAGGGAUCGUUCUAGGCCGGGGAUUAGGAAGGAUUGCUAAAACACUUAAAACUGACUCAAAAACGUAAAACAAAGUUUAAAACACUAACUUAAACUCAAAGAAUGCAAAACUAAACUAUAAAACACUAAAACAACUCAAAAGACUCAAAUCUGCCAAAAAACACAAACUAGGCAGAUUUGGACUCUAAAAACUUAAAAACGCAAUUUAAAACAUAUUCUAUCUAGUUAGACACUCUAAAGUAAAUGGGGGUUUGGUUUCGGACGAAAAUCAAGUAAAAUAAAACAAGAAAGACUUAAACAGAUUUUAGACGAAAUUAGGUGAAUUAGAUGGAUGAUUGGCUAGCUAGGAGGUUCUUCUCCACACAUGACACACUUGCAAACAAAACGAUUUCCAGUUGCUUUUCAAUAAACCAUGAAUUCUCAACGCCCCAAAUUAACCGUUAAUUGCACUAAUUAACCCUCAGAUUUUUCUAAAGUUAUUGAAUUGGAUGAUUGCAUACAACCCAAAGUAUUCCCCACAAGUUCCCCACAUGAAUUGCAUAAUAGAGAUACAAGUAAAGAUCAUUAAGUUCUAUGAAAAUCAUAAGCAUUGACGAGGCACUUGUUACUAUGAAUUGCAUGGAACUUGUGCCAAGAAUUUACUUAACGCGAUUGUGAUUAGCAACCUUUACUACUUGUGAAUAUAAGUUCAUAACGAUUAGGUGAAACUCCCAUAUAUCCUAGCAUCAGAUUUAUGCAUGAAAAUUAAGCAUGCACUCUCAACCAACACACAAAAAUCAGUUUUAAUUCAUGUAGAUAAGCAAAUUGAAUUCACAACUUAUGAAACACAACUGAAAGUAAUCAAAUCAUAUAGCAAGCAUGAACAUGGUUUCGAAUUCCCCCUAGCUACGGGGGGUUUAGUUCCUCAUACGUACAAAGCAAAAAUAAACAAAUUUAGACAUUGAAAACAAAAGAAAGAAAACACUUAGACGCUCCAACUUGAACAGCAAGCACAUCCACGAUUUUUCUCCUUCCUUUUUAUUGUGGCACAAGGCUUGGGGACAGGUUUGGGGGUUAUGAUGUAUGGAAGAAUGGAUGGGAGAUGGUAUGGUAGUGUUUAGGAUGGAUGGGAGGUGCGGCAAGGGGUGUUUUAGGUCAGUAACUAUGGAAGAUUGGUGGUGAUGGCUGCGGCAGAGAUGAGAAGAUGGUUUCUGGCGUGAAUUAUGAAUAUGGGAGGUGGUAGUUCGGCCAAAGCUGAAAUAUGAGUAUAUAUAGGCACAUAAAACCCUAGGGAAAUCAGGUUAGGACUUGGACUUAGCAGAAAAUAAGGAUUAGGGCCCAAAAAAUCAAAAUCCAAAGGGGAAAAGGCUUAAAAGGUGCGGCAGAAAUGUAGGAAAGGGAUUGGGCUUCUAGAAUGCCUUGCAAGGCAAGGAAAAAGGUUUCUAGAAAGGUUUAGGUGUGGCUCCUAGAUCUGAAAGGGAUUGGUUUUCUUGUGCAACAAGGAUAGGAAAUGAAGGGAUAGGGUUUCUAGAAACCCAUAAACCCAAGGAGAUGCACAGCAUGGAUAGGGAAGUGUUCUAGAGCCUUUCUUUGUGUCCAAAAAUGCUUAGGAAUCCUUCAAUGUUGCUGAAACUUAAGGCCAUGUACGUUUAGGAAAGAUCAACCCAAAAUAGGAAACUUUAGGCUUAACUUUCCUACUUCAAGUAGGAAACCUUGUUUGAGUAGGAAUCCUCAUUCUUCUAGGAAUCCAUCUUUGACUAGGAAUCCUUCUUCAAUUAGGACUCCUUCGUUGAUUAGGAAUCUUACUUUAAUUAGGACUCCUUACAUCUUCAACUCUUCAAUUUCGUCCAUUCCUUUUGCUCAAAGCAUGUGAUAUCCAUUCCAAGCUCAAUUUUGCUCCAAAAGGCUCCAAAAUGCACUACUUUGCAUACUUUGCCCUUAAAACUUGAAAACACAUGAAAAUGGCUUAAAAGACUAACUUAACUAAGAACACACAACGUAAAUGCACAAGAACAAGCUCACUAAGUCGCAUAAAUAUGCUUCUAUCAGAGCUUUUUGGAGCAGUUUUGGGCAUGGAAUAAAUAUCAUAUGCUUGUGAUAGGAGCAUAUUUAGGCGACUUAGUUGGCUUGUUCUUGUGCAUUUACGUUGUUAUUUCUUAGUUAUUUUAGUCUUUUAAGCCAUUUUCGUGUGUUUUCAGGUUCUAAGGACAAAGUAUGCAAGAAGGUGCAUUUUGGAGCCCUUAGGAGCAAAAUUGGGCUUGGAAUGGUUAUCACAUUCUUGGAGCAAAGGAGAUGGACGAAAUUGAAGACCUAAAGAUGCUAGGAUUCCUAAUUGAAGUUGGAUUCCUAAAAGAAUGAGGACUCCUACUCACAUGAGGAUUCCUAAUUGAAGUAGGAAAGUUAAGCCAAGGUUUCCUAUUUUAGUUUGACCUUUCCUUCCUAAAUGUCUCUGAAUUCCAGCAACAUUGAAGGCCUCCUAAGCAUAGAGAGGACACAAAAUAUACCUUCCUUACACAAUCAAAGGCCAUGCCGCACCCUCUUGACCCCUUUACUCCUCCUUGCAGUGCAAGGGAGAGUGUUCUUUCCUAUUUCCUUGCAUUAAAACACAUUCCUAUUGUGUUUUAUUUCCUUGCCGUAUAUCUUAGCCUAUUUCCCUUAGUUUUUUUAUUUUAUUUCCUUUUUCUAGAAGCUUUUGACUUAAUUUCUGUUAACCAAAAUAAGUGAGGGUUUUAAUUCCUGAAAACCUUAAAUAGACUUCCUUUUUGUAGCCAAAAGGAUCCAUUCAUUCACCCAUUCACGCCAGAAAUCAUCAUACAUUCUCGGCCACAUCCAUCCUUCACCAUUCUCCAUAGUUUCUGACCUAAUUCAACCCUUGCGGCACCAUACAUCUAUCCUAACCAUAAACCCAUCCUUCUACACCAUCCAUAACCCCCAAAACUCACCAACAAACCUUGUGCCGCAGCAAGAAGGAAGGAAGACAGCCCUUGGACGUGCUUGCCAUUCGAGAUAGGAUUGCUGGAACGUUUUAGGUGUAAUCUUUCUUUUGUUUCCAAUGUUUCAAUUCAAUAAUUCUUGUUUUAUGAGUAUGAGGAACUAAACCCCUCUUAGCUAGGGGGGAAUUCAAAACCAUGUUCAUACUUGCAAUAUGAUUUGAUUAUAUCCAGUUAUGAUUCAUAAGUUGUGAAUUCUAUUUACUUAUCCGUUUGAAUUAAAACUGGUUUGUGUGUGGGGGUUGAGAGUGCACGCUUAAUUUUCAUGCAUAAAUCUGAUGCUAGGAUAUAAGAGAGUUUCACCUAAUUGUUAUGAACUUAUAUUCACAAGUAGUGAAGGUUGUUUGUCACAAUCGUGUUAAGUAAAUUCUUGGCUUAAGUUUCAUGCAAUUCAUAGUUACAAGUGCCUAGUCAAUGCUUAUGAUUUUCAUAGAACUUAAUGAUCUUUGCUCGUAUCUGUAUUAUGCAAUUCAUGUAGAGAACUUGUGAAGAAUGCUUUGGGUUGUUGUAUGCAAUCAUCUAAUUCAAUGAAAUUAGGAAAAUCUGAGGGUUAAGUAGUGCAAUUCACAUUUAAUCUGGGGCAUUGGGAAUUCAUGGGUAUUGAAGAGCAACUGGAAAUCAAUUUGUUUGCAAGUGUGUCAAGGGUGGAGAAGAACCUCCUACUAGCCUAUCAUCCAUAGUUUUACCCCAAAUUCGUCCAAAUUUUGCUUAGUUUAUAAUCUGUUUGUUUUGUUUUCAAAUUCACCAAAACCAAACCCCCCCCUUUACUUUAGAGUGUCUAAUUAGUUAGAAUCUGUUUACUUUGUGUUUUUAAGUGUUUUGAAUCAAUUCAAAACCAAAAUUCGUCCAAAAGUUUGUUAGAGUCAGAAACUGCCUAAUUGUUGUUUUUAGGCAGUUUUGAGCUUUUUUAGAUUGUUUUGAGUCUUUUGAGUUUGUUUUGAGUUCUUUGAGUCUAGUUAAGUGUUUUUAGCCUGUUUUUACAUAUUUGAGUCAGUUUAGGGUGUUUUAGCAAUCCCUCCUAAUCCCCGGUUUAAGAACGAUCCCUACUUAUCCAUACUACAUUUGUCAACAUGAGGGUUUAAUUUGUGUGUUAAGUUAAAUUUCGCAUCAAAUUUUGGCGCCGUUGCCGGGGAUUAGCAACUUUGCUAAUCCCUUGUUAUUUCUUUUUGUUUAUUUUCGUUUGUUUUUAUGAUUAGUUACUGACCUUGUUUGUUUUCCUAUUUUAGGCACUAGUUUAUGACUAGAAGUUCUUAAUCUAUUCGUGAGCAUAUUUUUUACUUUGACGACGAUUUCGAACGGACUUUGAGACGAAAGAGGAACCAACAAGAAUCCAAUCCACCUAGCCCUGAACCCGUGCUUGAAGAAGAGGUACAAGAGCAAGAGGAGGCCACGACAGGGAUUUUUUAAGAAGUCCAAGAUAUGGCAGCCGACAAUCGAACAAUAAAUGAGCUUUCUGCUUCGGGAUUGGAUAAUGCCAUGCCAUUAUGCAUUCAAUAUCCAAGGGCUGCCCAAGACAAGACCGACGAGUUUGAAUUAAAGUCCAGUUUAUUGCACCAUAUUCCUAAGUUGCAUGGGUUGUCAAUGGAAGAUCCUAAUAAACACUUAAAGGAGUUUGUGGUUGUUUGUUCGAGUAUGACUCCCGUGAAUUUUGAUGGGAGUAUUUUGAAGAUGAAGGCUUUUCCCUUUUCUCUCUUGGACAAGGCUAAAGAUUGGUUGUAUGAACUAGCUCCCGGAACUGUCACAUCAUGGGAGAGUAUGAAACGGGCAUUUUUGGAGAAGUUUUUCCCAACUUCUCGAGUCAUUCUUGAUAGGAGCAUAUUUAUGCUCCUUAGUUAGUUAGUUCUUAUGCAUUUAUGUUGUGUUUUCUUAGUUAAGUUAGUCUUUUAAGCUAUUUUCAUGUGUUUUCAGGUUUUAAGGACAAAGUAAGCAAAAGGAUGCAAUUUGGAGCAUUUUGGAGCAAAAUUGAGCUAGAAUGGAGCUCAUGCAUGUGGAGCACAAAGAAUGGACGAAUUUGAAGGAUUGAAGAGCUAGGAAUGUGUUUCAAAGUUGAAGACUUGAAGAUGCAAAGUUUCCUAAUUGAAGUGGGAAAGUGCUUAAUUGAAGAUGAAAUCCUAGUCAAACAUGGAUUCCUAGUUGAAGAUGGAUUCUUUGUUGAGGAAUGAUUCCUAAGUGAAGUUGGAUUCCUAGAAGAUUGAAGUUUCCUACUCAAACAAGGUUUCCUACUUGAAGAAGGGAAGUUAAAGCCAAAGAAUCAGCUCAAGUGAAGAAACCUUAUGCAAAACAUUAUCCAAACCCUAUCCUAUCCAAUCCUAUCCUAUCUUAUCCUAAUCCUAAUCCAUCUACAUUUCAGCUACUUGGGAGGAUUCCUAGCUAUAUUAGGAUGCUUAAAAUCAGAUUUCUAGAAAAACCUAAUCCUUUCCUACAAAAAUGGCUCUUAGAACCUUUCUAGAAGACCUUUGCCUUGCAUUGCAAUUCAGCCACUUUCCCUCCACUUUUGUGCCGUGAGUUUUUACCCAAAUCCCUUGGGAUUUUGGUUUCUAGAAGCCCUUAUCCCUUCCUAGUUUGGUGCCGCACCUUAUCCUCCAAUUCCCUUUGGAUUUCUGAUUUGUUUUCCUUCAAGGAUUGUGUUUUAUUUUCCUAUAAAACUUAGGCCUUUAAAUCCUUUUCCUUUGCUACCUAGGGGCUGGAUUUUCAGCCUAUAAAUACAACCCUUUGCCGCACCAAUUCACCACCACCCUCUACCAGAUUUUCAUUACAUCAUUCACCCAAUCAUCCCUCUUGUGCCGUGAGUUUGCAAAGGAGAAGGAAGGAGACUCUUGGAGCCGUGCAUGCCAUUCAAGGAGCUUGGAUUGUUGGAGCGUUUCUAGGUGUUUUCUAUCUUUAUGUCAAUGUUUAGAUUUAUUUAUCUUUGUUUAUUUGCGACCAUGAGGAACUAAUUUCUUUAUAGUUAGAGGGGAAUUCAAAGCCAUGUUCAUAUGUUUUAUAUGAUUUGAUUUCCUCCAGUUAUGAUUUCAUAAAUCGUGAAUGUGGUUUACUUAUCUAUUUGAUUGAUAACUUGUUCUUGUGUGUUAAUUAAGGAUGCAUACUUAGUUCGCAUGGAUGAAUUUGACGCUAGAGUAUAAGGGAAUUUCACCUAAUCGUUAUUAACUUAUAUUCAUAAGUAGUAAAAGUCGCUAGUCACGAUUGUGUUAAGUAAAUUGAUAGGAGCAUAUUUAUGCGCCUUAGUUAGCUAGUUCUUAUGCAUUUUCGUUAUGUUUUCUUUGUUAAAGUAGUCUUUUAAGCUACUUUCAUGUGUUUUCAGGUUUAAAGGAUAUAUUACAUGAAAUGAUGCAAUUUGGAGCUUUUGGAGCAAAAAAGUGAGCUUGGAUUGAAAAGGACAUGCUUGGAACACAAGGUUGGGAUGAAAUUGAAGAGUUGAAGAUUUGAGGUUUCCUACUUGAAGUAGGAAAGCUAAGCCUAAAAGUUUCCAUUUUGGGUUGAUCUUUCCUAAACCGGAAUGGCCUUGCGUUUGAGCAACAUUAGAAGGUUCCGAAGCGUUGGAAGACACAAAGAAAGGUGUUAGAAUAUUUUCUCAUCCUUGCUGUGGGUUAGGGCUUAAUUUCUCUUGGUUUUGGGCUUUUUAGAAGCCCUAUCCACAUUCCCGCUAACCAGCCGCACCUUUCCCCUUCUAGAACACAUAUUUCCUUGCCUUGCAAGGCUUUCUAGAAGCCCUAACCCUAGCCCACUUAAUUGCCGCACCUUAGGCCCUUUUCUCACCAAAUUUCUGAUUGUUUAACCUAUUUUUCUGGUGGAUUUGGGUUUCUAGAAACCCUAAUCUGAUUUGUUAGGGUUUUUAAGUGCCCAUAUAUAUAUUUUUCUACACCUAGCCGCACAUAUGAUCUCUACACACAAUUCAGAAAUUCAUCCAACCCUAUUUCCCCACCUUGCCGCAGCCACCAUCAUCCUUAUACCCUUAGCCGCCACUCCCCCAUCCAUUCCAGCCAUUUCCCAAACCUUGCCGCAACCCUUCUCCACAACCAUACACCAUUCUACACCUCCAUACACCAUCCAUACUCCUUGCCGCACCACCAUACUAUCCUAACUCCCUUCCAAACCCAAAAUCACAUCCAAAAAUACCCUAAACCUUCUCUGCCGCAGCAAGGAGAAGAAGAAAGAGGAGCUUGACGUCAGAAAUUCAAAGUGGAAUUGUUGGGCGUUUUAGGUGUAAUCUUUCUUAUGUCUUCGAUGUUUCAAUUCAAUAAACUUUGUGUUGUGAGUAUGAGAAACUAAACCCCCUUAGUUGGGGGGUAAUUCGAAACCAUGUACAUGCUUGCAAUAUGAUUUGAUUACAUUCAGUUGUUAUUUCAUAAGUUGUGGAUUCAAUUCGUUCAUCUAUUUGAUUGAUAAUUUAUUUGUGUAUGUUGAUUGAGAGUGCACGCUUAGUUUUCAUGCAUGAAUAUGAUGCUAGAUUAUGAGGGAGUUUCACCUAAUAGUUACAAUCUUAUAAUCACAAGUAGUGAAGGUCGCUUGAAAACGAUCGCGU
RNAcentral lists this long non-coding RNA (11727 nucleotides) under Malus domestica (apple). Its description in RNAcentral is "long non-coding RNA (MDOM_LNC020295)". The record is from RNAcentral. Lineage: Eukaryota; Viridiplantae; Streptophyta; Magnoliopsida; Rosales; Rosaceae.